This 492-nucleotide ribosomal RNA is filed under the name uncultured bacterium. RNAcentral describes it as "partial 16S ribosomal RNA". It matches the Rfam family "Bacterial small subunit ribosomal RNA", at positions 29 to 507 of the family's 1533-position model. The record is from RNAcentral.
AGUGAACGCUGGCGGUAGGCCUAACACAUGCAAGUCGAACGGCAGCACAGUAAGAGCUUGCUCUUACGGGUGGCGAGUGGCGGACGGGUGAGGAAUACAUCGGAAUCUACUUUUUCGUGGGGGAUAGCGUAGGGAAACUUACGCUAAUACCGCAUACGACCUACGGGUGAAAGCAGGGGAUCUUCGGACCUUGCGCGAUUGAAUGAGCCGAUGUCGGAUUAGCUAGUUGGCGGGGUAAAGGCCCACCAAGGCGACGAUCCGUAGCUGGUCUGAGAGGAUGAUCAGUCACACUGGAACUGAGACACGGUCCAGACUCCUACGGGAGGCAGCAGUGGGGAAUAUUGGACAAUGGGCGCAAGCCUGAUCCAGCCAUACCGCGUGGGUGAAGAAGGCCUUCGGGUUGUAAAGCCCUUUUGUUGGGAAAGAAAAGCAGCAGGUUAAUACCCCGCUGUUCUGACGGUACCCAAAGAAUAAGCACCGGCUAACUUCGUG